GGAAGAUGACACACGUUCCACUCCAACCUUUAAUGACAUUUUGCAGCCAAAGGCAACAAAGGAUAAAGGAUCACUGUGGGCAGCCCUGGAGCUGCUGGACCGAAGAUAAACAUGGAACCCAAAGCUUCACAGAGGACAGAAGAAAACCUCCAAGCCACCAGCACUUCCUCUGCAGCUUCCACAAAAGGAGGGCAGCCAAGGCAGGAGAAGUGGGGAGGCCGUUCUUCCUCCAGCCCAACCCCGAUGCGUGCUGAGCUUUUGGUUCUCCACACAACCACAGCGUGGCACGAAGCAUUACCAGCAUCUCAGACGUGGAAUGAGUUGGAGAGGACCUCAAUGACACCCACGUGCCAUCCCCAGCAGCAGGACACAGCAGCACCAGCUGCCUCCCCUGGGCCUCACCCCACUGAGCCCACUGGCAGCACAGCUUUGGCCCCUCGCUCAGCACAGCCCCAGCUCUGCAGAUCCCCCCAUGUAAGACA
Long non-coding RNA from Gallus gallus (chicken), 482 nucleotides. NCBI's taxonomy places the organism in Eukaryota, Metazoa, Chordata, Aves, Galliformes, Phasianidae. The record is from Ensembl.